UUAAGUUCAGCGGGUAGUCCUACCUGAUUUGAGGUCAAACUUGUUUGUUGUGUUGUAAGGCCGAGCCAAUAAUACCAAACAUUUGCUACCAGACUAUUCAACGAGUUGGAUAAACCUAAUACAUUGAAAAAGUCUUGAAGCACUAUCUAGUACUACUCAUGCCAAUACAUUUCAAGCAAACGCUUAGUCUGACUAAGAGU
Molecule: unclassified non-coding RNA, 200 nt
Filed under: Schwanniomyces sp.
Lineage: Eukaryota; Fungi; Ascomycota; Pichiomycetes; Serinales; Debaryomycetaceae
Description: partial internal transcribed spacer 2
Source: RNAcentral